This 72-nucleotide transfer RNA is filed under the name Planctomycetota bacterium. RNAcentral's name for it is "tRNA-Thr". It matches the Rfam family "tRNA". Rfam says of the family: Transfer RNA (tRNA) molecules are approximately 80 nucleotides in length. Their secondary structure includes four short double-helical elements and three loops (D, anti-codon, and T loops). The record is from RNAcentral. Lineage: Bacteria; Pseudomonadati; Planctomycetota.
GCUGGCAUAGCUCAGUGGUAGAGCGCGUCCUUGGUAAGGACGAGGUCCUGGGUUCAAUCCCCAGUGCUAGCU